UCCCACUUGGUCGACAUAUUCUUUCACUCACAAUAAUAAGAAACAAGACACAUGGAUCAUAGCGAUAGGUCCUCUAUAAUAUCGAGUAUUAUCUUCUAUGUAUCACAAUGUAACGAGUCUCUAACCAAAUAUAACUUAAUGAAUAAACUCACAACAUUUAUGUUUAUUCAGGUUCCAAACUUAAGCGAUAUUUCUCAAAAUCAAAUGUGUACGUACACUUUAAAACUUAAAACAUGAGAAAAU
RNAcentral lists this long non-coding RNA (243 nucleotides) under Trifolium pratense (red clover). RNAcentral describes it as "long non-coding RNA (TPRA_LNC008418)". Lineage: Eukaryota; Viridiplantae; Streptophyta; Magnoliopsida; Fabales; Fabaceae. The record is from RNAcentral.